CGACGCGCACCAAGAAGAAACUUGUGUCCAAUAUUCAAGAAGGAAAUGUGAGUUUGACAAAAAGAUGUGGAUCGAACAUCUCGAAGUUGAAACCACACAAAAAUGUCUGUCAUUGUGAUAUCGGUGUUUGGUUGCGAGGAAGAGCACUGUGUCUCUAUCAGUCAGUAAGUCACAUUGUGCACAGGGUUCACAAAACCGAUUAGUUUUCACGAAAACUAGUCGGUUUGUGAAAACCAAUCCAAUCAAUUUUAUCUGGUUUUCGUACGACAUUGAUUGAAAAUUGUUGGCUUCUAUUGGUUUUCAGUUGGUUUUCGAUAACCCGAUGAGGAGCGAUUUUCUACUCGAAAACGGAAAGGUAAACCCGG
This 365-nucleotide long non-coding RNA is filed under the name Oryza sativa (Asian cultivated rice). RNAcentral's name for it is "long non-coding RNA (OSAT_LNC000641)". The record is from RNAcentral. Lineage: Eukaryota; Viridiplantae; Streptophyta; Magnoliopsida; Poales; Poaceae.